CACUCCUACGGGAGGCAGCAGUGGGGAAUAUUGGACAAUGGGCGCAAGCCUGAUCCAGCCAUGCCGCGUGAGUGAUGAAGGCCCUAGGGUUGUAAAGCUCUUUCACCGGAGAAGAUAAUGACGGUAUCCGGAGAAGAAGCCCCGGCUAACUUCGUGCCAGCAGCCGCGGUAAUACGAAGGGGGCUAGCGUUGUUCGGAAUUACUGGGCGUAAAGCGCACGUAGGCGGAUCGAUCAGUCAGGGGUGAAAUCCCAGGGCUCAACCCUGGAACUGCCUUUGAUACUGUCGAUCUGGAGUAUGGAAGAGGUGAGUGGAAUUCCGAGUGUAGAGGUGAAAUUCGUAGAUAUUCGGAGGAACACCAGUGGCGAAGGCGGCUCACUGGUCCAUUACUGACGCUGAGGUGCGAAAGUGUGGGGAGCAAACAGGAUUAGAUACCCUAGUAGUCCCA
Molecule: ribosomal RNA, 447 nt
Filed under: uncultured organism
Description: partial 16S ribosomal RNA
Rfam family: Bacterial small subunit ribosomal RNA
Source: RNAcentral